This 496-nucleotide ribosomal RNA is filed under the name uncultured bacterium. Its description in RNAcentral is "partial 16S ribosomal RNA". It matches the Rfam family "Bacterial small subunit ribosomal RNA", at positions 28 to 506 of the family's 1533-position model. The record is from RNAcentral.
GAUGAACGCUGGCGGCGUGCCUAAUACAUGCAAGUCGAGCGAACAGAUGAGGAGCUUGCUCCUCUGACGUUAGCGGCGGACGGGUGAGUAACACGUGGAUAACCUACCUAUAAGACUGGGAUAACUUCGGGAAACCGGAGCUAAUACCGGAUAAUAUAUUGAACCGCAUGGUUCAAUAGUGAAAGACGGUUUUGCUGUCACUUAUAGAUGGAUCCGCGCCGCAUUAGCUAGUUGGUAAGGUAACGGCUUACCAAGGCAACGAUGCGUAGCCGACCUGAGAGGGUGAUCGGCCACACUGGACCUGAGACACGGUCCAGACUCCUACGGGAGGCAGCAGUAGGGAAUCUUCCGCAAUGGGCGAAAGCCUGACGGAGCAACGCCGCGUGAGUGAUGAAGGUCUUCGGAUCGUAAAACUCUGUUAUUAGGGAAGAACAAAUGCGUAAGUAACUAUGCACGUCUUGACGGUACCUAAUCAGAAAGCCACGGCUAACUACGU